AUAAUGGGUCAGCGACUUAUAUUCUGUAGCAAGGUUAACCGAAUAGGGGAGCCGAAGGGAAACCGAGUCUUAACUGGGCGUUAAGUUGCAGGGUAUAGACCCGAAACCCGGUGAUCUAGCCAUGGGCAGGUUGAAGGUUGGGUAACACUAACUGGAGGACCGAACCGACUAAUGUUGAAAAAUUAGCGGAUGACUUGUGGCUGGGGGUGAAAGGCCAAUCAAACCGGGAGAUAGCUGGUUCUCCCCGAAAGCUAUUUAGGUAGCGCCUCGUGAAUUCAUCUCCGGGGGUAGAGCACUGUUUCGGCAAGGGGGUCAUCCCGACUUACCAACCCGAUGCAAACUGCGAAUACCGGAGAAUGUUAUCACGGGAGACACACGGCGGGUGCUAACGUCCGUCGUGAAGAGGGAAACAACCCAGACCGCCAGCUAAGGUCCCAAAGUCAUGGUUAAGUGGGAAACGAUGUGGGAAGGCCCAGACAGCCAGGAUGUUGGCUUAGAAGCAGCCAUCAUUUAAAGAAAGCGUAAUAGCUCACUGGUCGAGUCGGCCUGCGCGGAAGAUGUAACGGGGCUAAACCAUGCACCGAAGCUGCGGCAGCGACGCUUAUGCGUUGUUGGG
This 616-nucleotide ribosomal RNA is filed under the name Escherichia coli. Its description in RNAcentral is "partial 23S ribosomal RNA". It matches the Rfam family "Bacterial large subunit ribosomal RNA", at positions 612 to 1228 of the family's 2925-position model. RNAcentral also lists the same sequence under 1 other name. The record is from RNAcentral. Lineage: Bacteria; Pseudomonadati; Pseudomonadota; Gammaproteobacteria; Enterobacterales; Enterobacteriaceae.